RNAcentral lists this ribosomal RNA (971 nucleotides) under Klebsiella pneumoniae. RNAcentral describes it as "partial 23S ribosomal RNA". It matches the Rfam family "Bacterial large subunit ribosomal RNA", at positions 1 to 1014 of the family's 2925-position model. The record is from RNAcentral. Lineage: Bacteria; Pseudomonadati; Pseudomonadota; Gammaproteobacteria; Enterobacterales; Enterobacteriaceae.
GGUUAAGCGACUAAGCGUACACGGUGGAUGCCCUGGCAGUCAGAGGCGAUGAAGGACGUGCUAAUCUGCGAAAAGCGUCGGUAAGGUGAUAUGAACCGUUAUAACCGGCGAUGUCCGAAUGGGGAAACCCAGUGCAAUUCGUUGCACUAUCGUUAACUGAAUACAUAGGUUAACGAGGCGAACCGGGGGAACUGAAACAUCUAAGUACCCCGAGGAAAAGAAAUCAACCGAGAUUCCCCCAGUAGCGGCGAGCGAACGGGGAGCAGCCCAGAGUCUGAAUCAGCUUGUGUGUUAGUGGAACGGUCUGGAAAGUCCGACGGUACAGGGUGAUAGUCCCGUACACCAAAAUGCACAGGCUGUGAACUCGAAGAGUAGGGCGGGACACGUGGUAUCCUGUCUGAAUAUGGGGGGACCAUCCUCCAAGGCUAAAUACUCCUGACUGACCGAUAGUGAACCAGUACCGUGAGGGAAAGGCGAAAAGAACCCCGGCGAGGGGAGUGAAAAAGAACCUGAAACCGUGUACGUACAAGCAGUGGGAGCACCUUCGGGUGUGACUGCGUACCUUUUGUAUAAUGGGUCAGCGACUUAUAUUCUGUAGCAAGGUUAACCGUAUAGGGGAGCCGCAGGGAAACCGAGUCUUAACUGGGCGUUAAGUUGCAGGGUAUAGACCCGAAACCCGGUGAUCUAGCCAUGGGCAGGUUGAAGGUUGGGUAACACUAACUGGAGGACCGAACCGACUAAUGUUGAAAAAUUAGCGGAUGACUUGUGGCUGGGGGUGAAAGGCCAAUCAAACCGGGAGAUAGCUGGUUCUCCCCGAAAGCUAUUUAGGUAGCGCCUCGUGAAUUCAUCUUCGGGGGUAGAGCACUGUUUCGGCUAGGGGGUCAUCCCGACUUACCAACCCGAUGCAAACUACGAAUACCGAAGAAUGUUAUCACGGGAGACACACGGCGGGUGCUAACGUCCGUCGUGAA